GCUCGGACAGAUGGACACCUGAAGAGCAGGAGUCCUUCCAAAAGGCUUUCCACACCUAUGGCAAGGAUUUUCAUCUCAUCCAGAAGCAGGUAAAGCCAUAGGACAUUCUUUCUACUUGAGAAGAUCAUCAAAAGGAGAUGUUGCUUCUUUCUGGUACCAAGUACCGGAACUCAGUCUCUCUCUUCUCAAGCACCAAAAAUGUUAAAGUAGUAAUGAAAUGGGAAAAGGAAUGCCUACAUGAAAAUGAUGAUCCUGCCUCUCCUGCCCUUGUGUCCAAGCUCUUUUGGAAGAUGAAGGCUUAUUCUCUCAGAGUUGUCUCAUAGGUGUGCUGGUGCUUCCACAACACACCGUGCUGGGAUAACUGGAGUGAAAUGGGGAAAGAACUGUGCUAGAUGAUUUGCUUUUGAUCUGCACAUUACAUCUGUUACCAUGUAGCAUAACACAGGGUUUAUUACAUUGUAUAAUGCCUCUCUUACUCCACAUUGAUCUCAUUUUACACCCUACUCAAUUUACUCCAGGAUUUUACUUCCUAGGUUAUACCAUAUCCUACUUUUUCUCCAAUGCACCCUACAGGAUUUUACAGUCCUUCUUUUUCUCUUCACAACAGAUUCAGAGUAAGACCGUGGCACAGUGUGUGGAGUACUACUAUUCCUGGAAAAAAGAGCGUAGGGUUGCCAGCGCUCUUGCUCAGACUGUGGACAAAGCAAAGAGGAGCAAAAGCCCUCCCAGAAAGGAGGACGGGGAGCCAGGGAAGAGAAGCCGCAAGAGGGCUCGCAGCGCCGAGUGUCCCUGCUGCCAGCCGCAGCAGCCACCCCAUUCGGCCAGAGGCCCCUUUCCCUGCGGGCAGUGCAAACGGGUGUUUGAAACCAUAAAGGAAAGGAACAACCACAGGAGAAGGCAUCGCCCACGGAAGGAAGCAGAGCCUCUCCCCAAGAAGAAAAGAGCAAAUGAGGCCUGCAGCUGUCCAGGGCUAGCAAGAGUUAGCGGUCAAGAGGACUAGAUAGCAAUAAGAUUGUUUGUUAAGUUUCUAGGGUUGUUUAUUCUUCUACUUAGUUUACUAGAUAGGAAUCUCUCCAUUUAUUAGUUAAGAUGCAUUAGUAUUAUUAACGAUGUAUUAGUAUUAUUAGAUUUACCAGUAAGUGCAAGAGGUUUGGUGUUCGCUAUCUUUUGCCCUUUUGUCUUUGUUGAGACACAAUCUGUCUUUAUCAUUAAACCAAAGUUUGCUCCAUGACCUCUUUUUGUCUGCAUGAAAUCACUCAAGCAAUGUUCGUUCCAUUUGCUCGGUGUUGCAAACAGGGCAUUUUCCCUGAGAGAAGAAUCUGGGCACUUGGAUGUCCCCCACAGGCCCAGCCCCUUGCUCAGCUGGCGGACUUACAAAGAUCUGUCUCCGUUACUGCCACUGAAAGAAGGGUGGGGUUUCAUCCUUUGAUUCCUAAAAAUCUCGGCUGCGAGUGCAAAGGGAGGCUUUGCUUAACGCAGUGGAUUGGACCUAAAGGAGUGGUCCUGUCUCACUCUACUUGGAGGGAUAAAAGCAGCGGGUUUAGUCCUUUCUGUUGCCCAGCAACAAAAACAACUUUGUUUCAUUUCGGGGGACAGAUGGACUUGACCACCUUCAAGGACUUUCCUAACCUCUCUGAUUCUAUAAAAUUCAUAUCCACAUGCACAACUAAGUCAUCAGGAGUUCAGUUUCAGUUUCUCUUUAAAGGACCAGUCUCCCGCUCUGGGCUUCACCAAUCUCCUUAGCUAAAGCAGAGCGGGAGUGAACAGGAUCCUCUCACUUCUAACAGCUUUGGUAUUUGCAGCAAAGAAGAAUCAAGCUCACUCCUUUAUCCAGCUCAGCAAAGGGCACUGCCGGGCAAGGUUCUGGUAGCAGGGGCUGGGGAGGAUGGACAGGGGCUGAGGGAGGGGGAAUUGCCAGGCUGGUUCUGGGAAGCUGACCAAAGCUUGCCCUCGUCUGAUGGAGGCCGUGGCAGCUGGUGGGAUUUGGAGCCUACAAAGUACCUGCAUUGCAGUGGGCCUUGUUACAGCUGCCCCCUCAGUUUGCUGCUGUGUGUGUAACACGCAGGCUGGGAAGGAAGCAAGAUUGGCUCCUGCUUAACGUUAGGCAGGAAAGCACUAGAACCGGCUGGGUUUUGUCGUAGCUGGGACCUAAGCAUUCAAACAAACACCAAGGCCCUUAGUGUGGAAAAGUAGUUCUGUUCGUGUUAGUGUUUUAGAGGAAUGCCAGAGUUUUGAGAUGAACAUCUAGCUUCUUCAAGGCAGCUGGAAGAUAGACAUAGAAAUCCUUCAUUAAUGUUCGCUGCAGAAAUGCUGGUGGGUUGUCCCUGUGUCUGUGUGUGUCUCCAUGAGUUCCCCAGAGACACAUCCUGUUUCUCCGAGUUUCAAGGAAGGAGUGUUGAGCUAGGAGAGCAGCUCGGUAGCCCAAAGGAGAGAAAACGUCCAGUGACAUUCUUGGGCAGCAGG
This 2463-nucleotide long non-coding RNA is filed under the name Taeniopygia guttata (zebra finch). RNAcentral describes it as "lncRNA (ENSTGUG00000029164.1)". Lineage: Eukaryota; Metazoa; Chordata; Aves; Passeriformes; Estrildidae. The record is from RNAcentral.